Molecule: ribosomal RNA, 260 nt
Filed under: uncultured bacterium
Lineage: Bacteria
Description: partial 16S ribosomal RNA
Rfam family: Bacterial small subunit ribosomal RNA
Source: RNAcentral
UCGUGUCGUGAGAUGUUGGGUUAAGUCCCGCAACGAGCGCAACCCCUAUCCUUUGUUGCCAGCACGCAAUGGUGGGAACUCAAAGGAGACUGCCGCGGACAACGCGGAGGAAGGCGGGGAUGACGUCAAGUCAUCAUGCCCCUUAUGUCCUGGGCUACACACGUACUACAAUGGGAUGGACAGAGAGCAGCGAAGCCGCGAGGCCAAGCGAACCCCAUAAACCAUCUCCCAGUUCGGAUUGCAGGCUGAACCCGCCUGCA